UUUUGAGGCCGCGGCGCCCGUCUGCCCUCACCGCCGCGUUGGUUGAGAGUGAGCGGUCGUUCGGCCUUUUGGCAACCGCCCUCGGGUCAAGGCGUCGCGGGUUUUGGCACGGGACUUCGCCAGGUGACAGCGGUAGCUCGCGCACAGCCACAUUUUGGGCUUGGCGCUCUUUUGUCGAGCAUCCAUUCGUUCCUUUGGCGGUGAACGCAAGAAAAGCUGUAUGUGCCUCACCGUUGGUGGGUGACGGGCCAGGUCAAGGAAGGAACGGUGAAUUUUCUGAUUGGGUGCGUGCCGCAAUCGGUGUCGCACGCUGAACUGCAGUCACCUGAACCGUAGGCGAUGACGUCCACGCAACCUGUGACAUCACCGGCCAUAGAAGCGGGAACCAUGAACAGAGAAAUCCGAAUAAAUUACUCACCAUGAAGAGAGAAAGAGAGAGUAUGAAAGGGAAGGACUUUGACUGCGCAGUAGUCGCUACCCACGUACCAGCGGACGACGCACUUAGUCGUAAGGACAGAAAAUAAAAACUUCUGAAGCCAU
RNAcentral lists this long non-coding RNA (540 nucleotides) under Dermacentor andersoni. Its description in RNAcentral is "uncharacterized LOC126531471". Lineage: Eukaryota; Metazoa; Arthropoda; Arachnida; Ixodida; Ixodidae. The record is from RNAcentral.